Molecule: ribosomal RNA, 253 nt
Filed under: uncultured bacterium
Lineage: Bacteria
Description: partial 16S ribosomal RNA
Rfam family: Bacterial small subunit ribosomal RNA
Source: RNAcentral
UACGUAGGGUGCGAGCGUUACUCGGAAUUACUGGGCGUAAAGUGUGCGCAGGCGGCCGAGCAAGUCGAGUGUGAAAGCCCCGGGCUUAACCUGGGAACUGCGCUCGAAACUACUUGGCUUGAGUGUGGCAGAGGGAGGUGGAAUUCCUGGUGUAGCGGUGAAAUGCGCAGAUAUCAGGAGGAACACCGGUGGCGAAGGCGGGUCUCUGGGCCGAUACUGACGCUGAGGAGCGAAAGCGUGGGGAGCGAACAGG